UAAAUGCUCAAGGGUCUCUUCAUCUUCCUGAUAUAUGGGGUGUACAACACAGAGGCUGAACUCUUAAGGGAAGUAUAUUUGAAGGAGGAGAAAGUAUAGGUGUUUUAUCUUAUAUCUUAAGGUAUUUAUCUGGUGUCUUCUAUUACAUCCAAUUAUUUAUUUAUACGUUUAUAUGUUUAUUUGUUUAUACGUUUAUGCUUAAGGUAAAGGAAGUGUUAAUGUGUUUAAUUCCACGUUUUUAAGGUACCUCUGCAGUUUAUAUUUUAAUAAGGAUUUGGAAUUCAGUAAUAACCCCUAUAGAAAUAUAUAGAUAUAGAAAUAUAGAAAUGUAGACAUAUAGAAAUGUAGACAUAUAGAAAUGUAGACAUAUAGGCUUUCGAAGUCGAUAGCUGUAAGCGUAACGGAAUUUUAUUCGGAUUUUAUUAGCACUGAAGGGGGCACGGCCCCUUAGAGAGAUGCUGAAAGCGAAAAGCAUCUCCUGAUGAUUGUCCAACACCCGAAGCUGCUUCAGAACACGGAUUUUCCAUCCC
RNAcentral lists this long non-coding RNA (530 nucleotides) under Anas platyrhynchos platyrhynchos (common mallard). RNAcentral's name for it is "lncRNA (ENSAPLG00000030259.1)". The record is from RNAcentral. Lineage: Eukaryota; Metazoa; Chordata; Aves; Anseriformes; Anatidae.